This 433-nucleotide ribosomal RNA is filed under the name uncultured Alphaproteobacteria bacterium. RNAcentral describes it as "bacterial SSU rRNA". It matches the Rfam family "Bacterial small subunit ribosomal RNA", at positions 8 to 485 of the family's 1533-position model. The record is from RNAcentral. Lineage: Bacteria; Pseudomonadati; Pseudomonadota; Alphaproteobacteria.
AGAGUUUGAUCCUGGCUCAGAACGAACGCUGGCGGCAGGCCUAACACAUGCAAGUCGAGCGCAGUCCUUCGGGACCGAGCGGCGGACGGGUUAGUAACGCGUGGGAAUAUGCCCUUUUCUACGGAAUAGCCAUUGGAAACGAUGAUUAAUACCGUAUACGCCCUUCGGGGGAAAGAUUUAUCGGAGAAGGAUUAGCCCGCGUUAGAUUAGAUAGUUGGUGGGGUAAUGGCCUACCAAGUCUACGAUCUAUAGCUGGUUUGAGAGGAUGAUCAGCAACACUGGAACUGAGACACGGUCCAGACUCCUACGGGAGGCAGCAGUGGGGAAUCUUGGACAAUGGGCGCAAGCCUGAUCCAGCCAUGCCGCGUGAGUGAUGAAGGCCCUAGGGUCGUAAAGCUCUUUCGCUAGGGAGGAUAAUGACGGUACCUAGUAA